This 27-nucleotide small RNA is filed under the name Bombyx mori (domestic silkworm). Its description in RNAcentral is "piRNA piR-bmo-2047428". The record is from RNAcentral. Lineage: Eukaryota; Metazoa; Arthropoda; Insecta; Lepidoptera; Bombycidae.
UAUAGUGAAUAACACCAUGCUGAGACC